UCGAGCGGACCAAAGAAGAGCUUGCUCUUCGGCGGUUAGCGGCGGACGGGUGAGUAACACGUAGGCAACCUGCCUGUACGACUGGGAUAACUCCGGGAAACCGGAGCUAAUACCGGAUACGUUUUUCAGACCGCAUGGUCUGAAAGAGAAAGACCUUUGGUCACGUACAGAUGGGCCUGCGGCGCAUUAGCUAGUUGGUGGGGUAACGGCCUACCAAGGCGACGAUGCGUAGCCGACCUGAGAGGGUGAUCGGCCACACUGGGACUGAGACACGGCCCAGACUCCUACGGGAGGCAGCAGUAGGGAAUCUUCCGCAAUGGACGAAAGUCUGACGGAGCAACGCCGCGUGAACGAUGAAGGUUUUCGGAUCGUAAAGUUCUGUUGUUAGGGAAGAACCGCCGGGAUGACCUCCCGGUCUGACGGUACCUAACGAGAAAGCCCCGGCUAACUACGUGCCAGCAGCCGCGGUAAUACGUAGGGGGCAAGCGUUGUCCGGAAUUAUUGGGCGUAAAGCGCGCGCAGGCGGCUUCUUAAGUCAGGUGUGAAAGCCCACGGCUCAACCGUGGAGGGCCACUUGAAACUGGGAGGCUUGAGUGCAGGAGAGGAGAGCGGAAUUCCACGUGUAGCGGUGAAAUGCGUAGAGAUGUGGAGGAACACCCGUGGCGAAGGCGGCUCUCUGGCCUGUAACUGACGCUGAGGCGCGAAAGCGUGGGGAGCGAACAGGAUUAGAUACCCUGGUAGUCCACGCCGUAAACGUUGAGUGCUAGGUGUUGGGGACUCCAAUCCUCAGUGC
RNAcentral lists this ribosomal RNA (793 nucleotides) under Aneurinibacillus aneurinilyticus. RNAcentral's name for it is "bacterial SSU rRNA". It matches the Rfam family "Bacterial small subunit ribosomal RNA", at positions 62 to 846 of the family's 1533-position model. The record is from RNAcentral. Lineage: Bacteria; Bacillati; Bacillota; Bacilli; Caryophanales; Paenibacillaceae.